This 468-nucleotide ribosomal RNA is filed under the name uncultured bacterium. RNAcentral's name for it is "partial 16S ribosomal RNA". It matches the Rfam family "Bacterial small subunit ribosomal RNA", at positions 28 to 507 of the family's 1533-position model. The record is from RNAcentral.
GACGAACGCUGGCGGCGUGCUUAACACAUGCAAGUCGAACGGAAAGGCCCUGCUUUUGCGGGGUGCUCGAGUGGCGAACGGGUGAGUAACACGUGAGUAACCUGCCCUUGACUUUGGGAUAACUUCAGGAAACUGGGGCUAAUACCGGAUAGGAGCUCCUGCUGCAUGGUGGGGGUUGGAAAGUUUCGGCUGUUGGGGAUGGAAUCGCGGCUUAUCAGCUUGUUGGUGGGGUAGUGGCUUACCAAGGCUUUGACGGGUAGCCGGCCUGAGAGGGUGACCGGCCACAUUGGGACUGAGAUACGGCCCAGACUCCUACGGGAGGCAGCAGUGGGGAAUAUUGCACAAUGGGCGGAAGCCUGAUGCAGCAACGCCGCGUGCGGGAUGACGGCCUUCGGGUUGUAAACCGCUUUCGCCUGUGACGAAGCGUGAGUGACGGUAAUGGGUAAAGAAGCACCGGCUAACUACGUG